CCCUACAACGCUGCGCAUAUGC
RNAcentral lists this microRNA (22 nucleotides) under Caenorhabditis elegans. RNAcentral's name for it is "cel-miR-357-5p". Its record names the gene cel-miR-357-5p. The record is from miRBase by way of RNAcentral. Lineage: Eukaryota; Metazoa; Nematoda; Chromadorea; Rhabditida; Rhabditidae.